ACGGGUGAGUAAUGUCUGGGGAUCUGCCCGAUAGAGGGGGAUAACCACUGGAAACGGUGGCUAAUACCGCAUAACGUCGCAAGACCAAAGAGGGGGACCUUCGGGCCUCUCACUAUCGGAUGAACCCAGAUGGGAUUAGCUAGUAGGCGGGGUAACGGCCCACCUAGGCGACGAUCCCUAGCUGGUCUGAGAGGAUGACCAGCCACACUGGAACUGAGACACGGUCCAGACUCCUACGGGAGGCAGCAGUGGGGAAUAUUGCACAAUGGGCGCAAGCCUGAUGCAGCCAUGCCGCGUGUAUGAAGAAGGCCUUCGGGUUGUAAAGUACUUUCAGCGGGGAGGAAGGCAGUGAGGUUAAUAACCUUACUGAUUGACGUUACCCGCAGAAGAAGCACCGGCUAACUCCGUGCCAGCAGCCGCGGUAAUACGGAGGGUGCAAGCGUUAAUCGGAAUUACUGGGCGUAAAGCGCACGCAGGCGGUCUGUUAAGUCAGAUGUGAAAUCCCCGGGCUUAACCUGGGAACUGCAUUUGAAACUGGCAGGCUUGAGUCUCGUAGAGGGGGGUAGAAUUCCAGGUGUAGC
This 581-nucleotide ribosomal RNA is filed under the name uncultured bacterium. RNAcentral's name for it is "bacterial SSU rRNA". It matches the Rfam family "Bacterial small subunit ribosomal RNA", at positions 102 to 679 of the family's 1533-position model. The record is from RNAcentral.